UACCAGACUCCUACGGGAGGCAGCAGUGAGUAAUAUUGGUCAAUGGGCGAGAGCCUGAACCAGCCAAGUCGCGUGAGGGAAGACGGCCCUACGGGUUGUAAACCUCUUUUGUCAGGGAGCAAGAACAGAUACGUGUAUCUGAGCGAGAGUACCUGAAGAAAAAGCAUCGGCUAACUCCGUGCCAGCAGCCGCGGUAAUACGGAGGAUGCGAGCGUUAUCCGGAUUUAUUGGGUUUAAAGGGUGCGCAGGCGGCACGGCAAGCCGGCGGUCAAAUCGCGGGGCUCAACCCCGCCCAGCCGUCGGAACUGCCGGGCUAGAGUGGGCGAGAAGUGCGCGGAAUGCGUGGUGUAGCGGUGAAAUGCAUAGAUAUCACGCAGAACUCCGAUUGCGAAGGCAGCGCACCGGCGCCCUACUGACGCUCAGGCACGAAAGCGUGGGUAUCGAACAGGAUUAGAUACCCCGGUAUA
RNAcentral lists this ribosomal RNA (467 nucleotides) under uncultured bacterium. RNAcentral describes it as "bacterial SSU rRNA". It matches the Rfam family "Bacterial small subunit ribosomal RNA", at positions 329 to 794 of the family's 1533-position model. The record is from RNAcentral.